Molecule: ribosomal RNA, 901 nt
Filed under: Escherichia coli
Lineage: Bacteria; Pseudomonadati; Pseudomonadota; Gammaproteobacteria; Enterobacterales; Enterobacteriaceae
Description: partial 23S ribosomal RNA
Rfam family: Bacterial large subunit ribosomal RNA
Source: RNAcentral
GGGUUGUGAGGUUAAGCGACUAAGCGUACACGGUGGAUGCCCUGGCAGUCAGAGGCGAUGAAGGACGUGCUAAUCUGCGAUAAGCGUCGGUAAGGUGAUAUGAACCGUUAUAACCGGCGAUUUCCGAAUGGGGAAACCCAGUGUGAUUCGUCACACUAUCAUUAACUGAAUCCAUAGGUUAAUGAGGCGAACCGGGGGAACUGAAACAUCUAAGUACCCCGAGGAAAAGAAAUCAACCGAGAUUCCCCCAGUAGCGGCGAGCGAACGGGGAGCAGCCCAGAGCCUGAAUCAGUGUGUGUGUUAGUGGAAGCGUCUGGAAAGGCGCGCGAUACAGGGUGACAGCCCCGUACACAAAAAUGCACAUACUGUGAGCUCGAUGAGUAGGGCGGGACACGUGAUAUCCUGUCUGAAUAUGGGGGGACCAUCCUCCAAGGCUAAAUACUCCUGACUGACCGAUAGUGAACCAGUACCGUGAGGGAAAGGCGAAAAGAACCCCGGCGAGGGGAGUGAAAAAGAACCUGAAACCGUGUACGUACAAGCAGUGGGAGCACGCUUAGGCGUGUGACUGCGUACCUUUUGUAUAAUGGGUCAGCGACUUAUAUUCUGUAGCAAGGUUAACCGAAUAGGGGAGCCGAAGGGAAACCGAGUCUUAACUGGGCGUUAAGUUGCAGGGUAUAGACCCGAAACCCGGUGAUCUAGCCAUGGGCAGGUUGAAGGUUGGGUAACACUAACUGGAGGACCGAACCGACUAAUGUUGAAAAAUUAGCGGAUGACUUGUGGCUGGGGGUGAAAGGCCAAUCAAACCGGGAGAUAGCUGGUUCUCCCCGAAAGCUAUUUAGGUAGCGCCUCGUGAAUUCAUCUCCGGGGGUAGAGCACUGUUUCGGCAAGGGGGUCAUCCCGA